AAACAGGAUGAAUUGGAAACACUAAAUUGCCUGUGCCCUGUUCAGGGUUUAGCUCACCUCCUACCCAAUAUGUGUUGGGACAGACAGCAGUCCCCCUGAAGACUUGAACAGCAAAAGCCCUUACGAUGGAUGUGUGUAAAUAAAGUUGAAUGUGUUUUCUUGAGCUAGAAGCACAUGCAACUUGACUCAUCAUCACAAGCUUCAGAUUCAAGUUUAAGAUAGGAAUGAGAAGACCUAUCAAAACAGCUGCAGGGACAGAGUCAGAGCAAGAAAUACUACUGAUCCACCAAUCAGAGGCAGUUCAACAAGGAAGAACAGCCUGAUAGAAGAGGCAGGAAAAGACAGGAUCAGCAAGACAGGGGCCAGUGAAGAUAUUAACCCCACCUACAAUUUCUCCCAGCUAUCCAGACCAGCCAGAGGUGGACAGAGUGGAAAACAUGUACCUGUUCAUCAAGGAUAAGAAUCUGGGACACCAAGAUGUCUUUACUUAUAAAGGAUUUUGACUUUGAUUUGAAACCUCACCAAGAAUGAAGAAAUUGAAGGACGAGAGGAGUUGAAGGAAGAUGGAAACAGCAGGCUGAGUGAACCUUCUGAUUUAAAAAGAUUUUACGAUGAGGACAAGCGGCCCUAGAUGUCCACCUCAUCUGCUGCAGCAGCAGCAUCAUCAGAGACCGUUUGCUGUCCUGAAGAUCAUCAGGACAAGUGGGAUUCAAACUCAUUUCCAGGGGAGAUUGGGACCUGAAUACAGCCUUCAAAGUAACGCAGGAAUCCAUCCAUCCUUUCCUGCGAAUCCCUUCUACGUGUGAGGAGUCUGAAUUAGAUGCAGGAAUGGGAGCCUCCACCACUCAUAGUGAAAACAUUCAGUUACAGAAUGUAAAUACACUGAAUAUCUGUUGCUGAAAAAAUGCAGAAAACAAGCUUUUAUUUCCUGAAAAUAUGAAGGACUAUAAAUCCUUCACAGUAACAUUAGACAAGUUGUUACUACUGA
Long non-coding RNA from Xiphias gladius (swordfish), 988 nucleotides. RefSeq lists it as uncharacterized. The transcript is spliced from 4 exons. Lineage: Eukaryota; Metazoa; Chordata; Actinopteri; Istiophoriformes; Xiphiidae. The record is from RefSeq and is a predicted model, not a curated record.